UGCAUUUCCAUAAGCGGAGGAAAAGAAACCAACCGGGAUUGCCUCAGUAACGGCGAGUGAAGCGGCAAAAGCUCAAAUUUGAAAUCUAGUGCCCUCGGCGCUCGAGUUGUAAUUUGUAGAGGGAUACUCUGGGGCCGUUCCUUGUCUAUGUUCCUUGGAACAGGACGUCAUAGAGGGUGAGAACCCCGUGUGGCGAGGAGUGCGGUUCUUUGUAGAGUGCCUUCGAAGAGUCGAGUUGUUUGGGAAUGCAGCUCUAAGUGGGUGGUAAAUUCCAUCUAAAGCUAAAUACAGGCGAGAGACCGAUAGCGAACAAGUACAGUGAUGGAAAGAUGAAAAGAACUUUGAAAAGAGAGUGAAAAAGUACGUGAAAUUGUUGAAAGGGAAGGGCAUUUGAUCAGACAUGGUGUUUUGCGCCCCCUGCUCCUUGUGGGCGGGGGACUCUCGCGGCUCACUGGGCCAGCAUCGGUUUUUGCGGCCGGAUAAAUCCCCUGGAACGUAGCUUGCUUCGGGAAGUGUUACAGCCAGCGGGGAAUACGGCCAGCGGGGACCGAGGACUGCGGCGCUUGCGCCAAGGAUGCUGGCAUAAUGGUUAUAUGCCGCCCGUCUUGAACACCGGGACAA
This 621-nucleotide ribosomal RNA is filed under the name Huiozyma naganishii. Its description in RNAcentral is "LSU rRNA". It matches the Rfam family "Eukaryotic large subunit ribosomal RNA", at positions 37 to 669 of the family's 3401-position model. The record is from RNAcentral. Lineage: Eukaryota; Fungi; Ascomycota; Saccharomycetes; Saccharomycetales; Saccharomycetaceae.